Molecule: ribosomal RNA, 478 nt
Filed under: uncultured bacterium
Lineage: Bacteria
Description: partial 16S ribosomal RNA
Rfam family: Bacterial small subunit ribosomal RNA
Source: RNAcentral
GACGAACGCUGGCGGCGUGCUUAACACAUGCAAGUCGAACGGGAUUUAGUAAACGGAAGCCUCGGUGGAAGAUUACUAAUGAGAGUGGCGAACGGGUGAGUAAUGCGUGAGCAACCUGCCUAUGACAGUGGGAUAGCCUCGGGAAACCGGGAUUAAUACCGCAUAAAAUCGUAGAAACACAUGUUUCAACGGUCAAAGAUUUAUCGGUCAUAGAUGGGCUCGCGUCUGAUUAGCUAGUUGGUGAGAUAACAGCCCACCAAGGCGACGAUCAGUAGCCGGUCUGAGAGGAUGAACGGCCACAUUGGAACUGAGACACGGUCCAAACUCCUACGGGAGGCAGCAGUGGGGAAUAUUGCACAAUGGGGGAAACCCUGAUGCAGCGACGCCGCGUGAACGAAGAAGGUAUUCGUAUCGUAAAGUUCUGUCCUAUGGGAAGAUAAUGACAGUACCAUAGAAGAAAGCUCCGGCUAAAUACGUG